AGUAGUUUGGCCGACCCUCAGCCAGGCGUGGUCCGGGAUUGGAAAUCCAAGGACCGCAAUGUGCGUGCGAAAUGUCGAUGUUCAUGUGUCCUGCAGUUCACA
RNAcentral lists this ribosomal RNA (102 nucleotides) under Cryptocercus punctulatus (brown-hooded cockroach). Its description in RNAcentral is "partial 28S ribosomal RNA". The record is from RNAcentral. Lineage: Eukaryota; Metazoa; Arthropoda; Insecta; Blattodea; Cryptocercidae.